Molecule: long non-coding RNA, 361 nt
Organism: Manacus vitellinus (golden-collared manakin)
Lineage: Eukaryota; Metazoa; Chordata; Aves; Passeriformes; Pipridae
Exons: 3
Source: RefSeq, a predicted model, not a curated record
AAAUGAGAAAAAACACAUGGAGGCAACUUGGAGUGCUGAUCUCAACAUCCUUAGUGGCCAAAAUCCUACAGAUAAUAUUAUGAAGUUAAUGAAAUACGUACUUUCAGAUCUCCUGAGAUAUUGGCUCCUGCAAGAAUGCCAGUGGCAGCUGGGAAAAAAAUGGCAAACACCGAAAAAAAUCCUUCUCCACUUCUGAAAUCUGGUCCAAAGUUUUCUGCAAAUAUCGAUGCUGCAAAUACAGGAAUGACUGUCCCGAUAAAGAAGUUUGCAAUGGCAACAAGGAGAACAAUUAGAAGAAUAACUUGAGCCUAUUAAUAGAAGCAAAAAGAUUUUCCUGUUAGUUUUAAUUUGUGUUGCUGUG